UAAACUCACUUAGAACAUAAU
Molecule: non-coding RNA, 21 nt
Filed under: Caenorhabditis elegans
Lineage: Eukaryota; Metazoa; Nematoda; Chromadorea; Rhabditida; Rhabditidae
Source: RNAcentral